AUGGCUAAAAAGGCCGGGAAAAUAGCUGCGCAGGAAGCAGUCCCAGUGGCCAACGGUGUCCAAGUCUUCCGGGUGGUGCAGGUUCCCAGGCGUGAUCGCAAGUGGCACCCAGCACCCAGCUACAGAGGCCCCCUCCCCUGCUACGGAGAGGGGUCUGGAGCCAUCGACCUGGGCCUGGUUGGAGUGCGGGGCGUCUGCCGGCCUCUACGUUGGGCCUGUUCUCCGCAGGGAGAGCUCACAUCGGCCUCUCUGCCACCCCUUGAGCUCACGCUAAAGCGCAACGACACAGUUUACCUGGUCACAAGUCGAGAGCCUAGGGGACGAGUGUUGCUGCUAAAGCCCCGUUCACAAAACGCUGAGGCGGGACCACGCCGCCAGCGCCUGGGCACAAAGUGCGGCCCCGGGGGCCCCGGGGGCGGGGCGGCUCCCCUCUGCCAGCACGUUCCGAUUCGGGGAAAACCUGUCUGCUUGGUGUUUCUGGGACAAAAAGGGCCUUUGUCGCUCUAGGUCUUGUGUAGACGCAAAGACAAGGCCGUCGUAUAUUCCGUGACUCCCGCGAUGUAUGGGAGCACAGGCCGCUCCGGGCAGGGCGCGUGCUCCUGGGGGCACCGGGGUCCUCGGGAGGCCCCGCGCACCUGCGGGCUGGCCCUGGGGCAGACUCCAUGCAGGGGGCCUGUCUCCCCAGCGGUGCCUCCAGGUGCCAGCCACCAGCCUGUCCCCACGUGGGGGCCGAAGAAGCACUUUGAAGCGGGUGAUGGGCCUCAUCUUACAGCCAAAAUCUGUAAAACACUUUUUUUAAAAAAAGCCUUGGGACGCCUGGAUGGCUCAGUGAUUGGGUGUCUCUGCCUUUGGCUCAGGGCAUGAUCCUGGGAUCCAGGAUCAAGUCCCCCGUCGGGCUCCCUGCGUGGAGCCUGCUUCUCCCUCUGCCUGUGUCUCUGCCUCUCUCUCUCUCUCUGUGUCUCUCGUGAAUAAAUAAAUAAAAUCUUAAAAAAAUAAUAAAUUAAAAUGAAGUGUAAACAUCAGCUCCAAGCGUCGGCCCAGGGCUGGGGCAGGAGUGGCCCUGAGCAGCCCCUCCCUGGCCGCCAGCGGUGCUGUGCUGGAUGACCCCACAGGAGAG
RNAcentral lists this long non-coding RNA (1117 nucleotides) under Canis lupus familiaris (dog). Its description in RNAcentral is "lncRNA (ENSCAFG00040018613.1)". The record is from RNAcentral. Lineage: Eukaryota; Metazoa; Chordata; Mammalia; Carnivora; Canidae.